GCCAGCCGCCGCGGGAACACCGGCGGCCCGAGUGGUGAUCGUGAUUAUUGGGUCUAAAGGGUCCGUAGCCGGUUUGGUCAGUCCUCCGGGAAAUCUGAUAGCUCAACUAUUAGGCUUUCGGGGGAUACUGCCAGACUUGGAACCGGGAGAGGUAAGAGGUACUACAGGGGUAGGAGUGAAAUCUUGUAAUCCCUGUGGGACCACCUGUGGCGAAGGCGUCUUACCAGAACGGGUUCGACGGUGAGGGACGAAAGCUGGGGGCACGAACCGGAUUAGAUACCCGGGUAGUCCCAGCCAUAAACGAUGCUCGCUAGGUGUCAGGCAUGGCGCGACCGUGUCUGGUGCCGCAGGGAAGCCGUGAAGCGAGCCACCUGGGAAGUACGGCCGCAAGGCUGAAACUUAAAGGAAUUGGCGGGGGAGCACAACAACGGGUGGAGCCCUGCGGUUUAAUUGGACUCAACGCCGGACAACUCACCGGGGGCGACAGCAAUAUGUAGGCCAAGCUGAAGACUUUGCCUGAAUCGCUGAGAAGAGGUGCAUGG
Molecule: ribosomal RNA, 542 nt
Filed under: uncultured archaeon
Lineage: Archaea
Description: bacterial SSU rRNA
Rfam family: Archaeal small subunit ribosomal RNA
Source: RNAcentral